GGAGUAUAACACCAGGAGGUUUCACUUCGCUGAGCAUAUCUCGCCAUCAAGAGAGAGCAAGAGUCUCGCUGAGAGCCAUGAGAAGAUCAGCAAGCUCCAAGCUUGGUGCAAGUUCCAAGACAAGUUCAUUGGUAAGUGUUUCAAGAUGUACAAAUCCAUGCAGAAGAGGGUGAAUCGCUCC
RNAcentral lists this microRNA precursor (181 nucleotides) under Arabidopsis halleri subsp. gemmifera. RNAcentral describes it as "pre miRNA MIR854". It matches the Rfam family "MIR854 microRNA precursor family", at positions 20 to 200 of the family's 221-position model. The record is from RNAcentral. Lineage: Eukaryota; Viridiplantae; Streptophyta; Magnoliopsida; Brassicales; Brassicaceae.